AUUAAUUAAUACUAGCUACAAAUAACAGACCCGAAAUAAAUACUCGAGCAGGUCAAGAUGGAGGACGGUUCGGUGACCGCAUAGAGAUUUGAACCGGAAUAGGCCGACCGGUACCAGUCCCUCCGCAGCUACUACACGCCAUGCGACCCGAACCGGAACAAGCCCGGCAACCAGCAUCUCCAUCGGACCAACGGGAACAAAGACAAGCGACCCGACCCGUCCCGUUGCAAGAUGGGCACAACGGGCCGGCCAUGGGCUUCUGGUCCAUAACCGAUUU
This 277-nucleotide long non-coding RNA is filed under the name Populus trichocarpa (black cottonwood). RNAcentral's name for it is "long non-coding RNA (PTRI_LNC001027)". Lineage: Eukaryota; Viridiplantae; Streptophyta; Magnoliopsida; Malpighiales; Salicaceae. The record is from RNAcentral.